CAUGAUUUAGAAAGCAACCUAUCCUUAAUGCAAAGCCAUUCACUUGAUCAAUUGAUCAAGAUGAAUUAGAUUUGAAUCAAGGAAGAUUAAACCUCCCUAAUCAAUGCUAACUUAUCAACCUUUAACUCAUUGAUCAAAAAGAAAAAAAAAGAAGAAGGAGAUGAAUAAUGGAUAAUGGAAAAGGAAAGAAUAAAGUGCAUUAAGAUGAAAUAAAAUGUACCAAUCCAUGUGUGUUGACCAAAUGACAUUGAAAGUC
Molecule: long non-coding RNA, 256 nt
Filed under: Lathyrus oleraceus (garden pea)
Lineage: Eukaryota; Viridiplantae; Streptophyta; Magnoliopsida; Fabales; Fabaceae
Description: Pisum sativum (pea) long non-coding RNA (PSAT_LNC027525)
Source: RNAcentral